This 457-nucleotide ribosomal RNA is filed under the name uncultured Sphingobacteriales bacterium. Its description in RNAcentral is "bacterial SSU rRNA". It matches the Rfam family "Bacterial small subunit ribosomal RNA", at positions 925 to 1382 of the family's 1533-position model. Lineage: Bacteria; Pseudomonadati; Bacteroidota; Sphingobacteriia; Sphingobacteriales. The record is from RNAcentral.
ACAAGACGGAGGAGCAUGUGGUUUAAUUCGAUGAUACGCGAGGAACCGUUACCUGGGCUCGAACGUAAGAUGACUGUAGGUGAAAGCUUACAUCUCUUCGGAGCAUUUUACGAGGUGCUGCAUGGUUGUCGUCAGCUCGUGCCGUGAGGUGUCGGGUAAGUCCCAUAACGAGCGCAACCCUACCUUUAGUUGCCAUCAGGUAAUGCUGGGGACUCUAAAGGAACUGCCUACGCAAGUAGUGAGGAAGGCGGGGAUGACGUCAAAUCAGCACGGCCCUUACGUCCAGGGCUACACACGUGCUACAAUGGCCGAUACAGAGGGCAGCUACCUGGUGACAGGAUGCAAAUCUCCAAAGUCGGUCUCAGUUCGGAUCGGAGUCUGCAACCCGACUCCGUGAAGUUGGAUUCGCUAGUAAUCGCGCAUCAGCCAUGGCGCGGUGAAUACGCUCCCGGGCCUU